RNAcentral lists this ribosomal RNA (372 nucleotides) under uncultured bacterium. Its description in RNAcentral is "bacterial SSU rRNA". It matches the Rfam family "Bacterial small subunit ribosomal RNA", at positions 335 to 698 of the family's 1533-position model. The record is from RNAcentral.
ACUCCUACGGGAGGCAGCAGUAGGGAAUCUUCCACAAUGGGCGCAAGCCUGAUGGAGCAACACCGCGUGAGUGAAGAAGGGUUUCGGCUCGUAAAGCUCUGUUGUUAAAGAAGAACACGUAUGAGAGUAACUGUUCAUACGUUGACGGUAUUUAACCAGAAAGUCACGGCUAACUACGUGCCAGCAGCCGCGGUAAUACGUAGGUGGCAAGCGUUAUCCGGGAUUUAUUGGGCGUAAAGAGAGUGCAGGUCGGUUUUCUAAGUCUGAUGUGAAAGCCUUCGGCUUAACCGGGGAAGUGUAUCGGAAACUGGAUAACUUGAGUGCAGAAGAGGUAGUGGAACUCCAUGUGUAGCGGUGGAAUGCGUAGAUAUA